AGAAGGAUGGAAGCAGGAAAACACUUGUUUCCAUGGCAAGGGAUGUGGUUGUCAUCAACGAGUUGGCCAGGUAUCCCUCACUUCUAAGAGAACGUUCACAAAUCUCCCAGCCUCCUCUGCAAACGAUCUUGGGUUCUAAUGCGUAACCACUAUGAAAAGGGUGUGUGAGAGGCGCUGAAGAGCUUUCUGAUGUAUUGGUUAGAUCUAAAGCCUCCUCCCAAGAACGCAAGUAACUGGCCCUUGGAACUGUCACUUCUCACAGAUGCCUCUCUUGUGUGCUCUUGGAUCCAGCCUUGCCAUGUGGUGCUCAAAAACUGGUGUAUUCUGGUAAGUAGUGUUUUCCCUUGCGUUUCCUAU
RNAcentral lists this long non-coding RNA (357 nucleotides) under Numida meleagris (helmeted guineafowl). RNAcentral's name for it is "lncRNA (ENSNMEG00000006081.1)". The record is from RNAcentral. Lineage: Eukaryota; Metazoa; Chordata; Aves; Galliformes; Numididae.